GACAGCGAGUAUAACCCCUUUGGUUCUUCUUGUUUGGUUGUCUUCUUUGCUCUCACAUUGCCACCCACUGAACCUAAGCAGGGUUGUACCUGGUUAGUACCUGGAUGUGAGACUACCUGGGAAAACUAGGUUGCUGCUGUAA
This 142-nucleotide ribosomal RNA is filed under the name Danio rerio (zebrafish). The record is from RNAcentral. Lineage: Eukaryota; Metazoa; Chordata; Actinopteri; Cypriniformes; Danionidae.